Glycine soja is the source of this 1389-nucleotide RNA transcript. It is a transcript of the gene named B-box zinc finger protein 18-like, with no coding region annotated. NCBI's taxonomy places the organism in Eukaryota, Viridiplantae, Streptophyta, Magnoliopsida, Fabales, Fabaceae. The transcript is spliced from 7 exons. The record is from RefSeq and is a predicted model, not a curated record.
UUUGAACUUGUGGCUACCAAGUAACGUUUGAGGCCAACAGAGUUGACAAACACUCAUUUAUUGUGUCUAUGCAAAGUUCUGGAAUCAACCCCUAAGGUCCCCCCACUCCUUCAAAAAUCCUCUCUUUUAUCCUACAACACUCUAAUCAUCGUCAUCAACCACCUCCUCCAUCCUCCCCCAGUAACAACACAACAUAACAUUCAGAGAAAAACAAAACUAUCAUACCCACAUGGAUUUGCAAUGAAAGUGAGAGAGUCCAAUUAUGCGAACGCUUUGUGAUGCUUGUGAGAGCGCCGCGGCUAUAGUUUUCUGCGCCGCUGAUGAGGCUGCACUUUGUCGUGCCUGUGAUGAGAAGGUUCACAUGUGCAACAAGCUAGCUAGUAGGCAUGUGAGGGUUGGUCUUGCUAGUCCAAGUGAUGUACCACGGUGUGACAUAUGUGAGAAUGCACCUGCUUUCUUCUAUUGCGAGACAGAUGGAAGUUCCCUUUGUUUGCAGUGUGAUAUGAUUGUUCAUGUUGGAGGUAAAAGAACGCAUGGAAGAUAUCUUCUGUUCAGGCAAAGAGUUGAGUUUCCAGGAGAUAAAUCUAGUCAUGCUGAAAAUCCGGCUUCACAACCAUUGGAACCAGGUGAGGCUAAAAGAGGACAAAAUCCACUUCCCAAACUAAAAAUGGGAGAGAAGCAACAAAAUCACAAGAUGCCUAUGGUUCCAACGCCAGGACCUGAUGCUGAUGGGCAUGCCAAGAUGGAAAGUAAAAUGAUUGAUUUGAACAUGAAGCCUAAUAGAAUACAUGAACAAGCAUCAAAUAAUCAGGUAUUCAAUAAAUUCUCAUAAAACUUAAACUGCAUGUGGUUGAAGAGUUGAUGUGAACAAUGGUAUCGAUCAUAAUUGAACACCCCUCCCCCUUUUUAACUCAACUUCAAUAUCAAUACCAUAUCGUUCCUCUUUCCAUCUUCAGUGCAGUUGGAUGAAAGUAGAACCCUUGAACGCUUUUCUUUUUUCCUUUGCAGCCAUAAAUGGCGCAACUAGGCAAUGCAGUUCUGACAGGAUCCUAAACCAAAAAUCUACCAAUGGCAAAAGCUUCGUUUUGUUCUCGUGCAUGCUAGUCACAAGGAUGACAUACUCUAUUAAUAUCCUAUAUAUUCUGGCAAAUGAGGCACCAGAAUCCUUUGAGGAGUUUGUUCGCCUACGUAGGAACUUAAUUUGGUAGUUCAACACAUCAUAUUCUGUACUGCAAAGCAUUGUUAACUGUAUAUCUAUGACCCCUUUCAAUGAAUUGUGUGUUGACUUUUGUUUCUGGUUUCAGUUUUGUAUGCCAUUGCGUCCCCUAUAAAAUUCAGGGGGAAAAGAGUUAUUUGAAUUUUUUAAAAAUAAAAUGCGACAAUUGUACA